Bactrocera dorsalis (oriental fruit fly) is the source of this 328-nucleotide long non-coding RNA. RefSeq lists it as uncharacterized. The transcript is spliced from 2 exons. NCBI's taxonomy places the organism in Eukaryota, Metazoa, Arthropoda, Insecta, Diptera, Tephritidae. The record is from RefSeq and is a predicted model, not a curated record.
AAACAUCGACUUCGGAUCGUUAAAGACGGCCUUCAGAUUGGCAUUCAAGUGCACCAGCAACAACGACAAGCCCGGAUCAUUCUCGGCGAUCGUCAGCACCGACUGCAAUGAACAUGAGUUACAUAUGUUUUUUUAUUUCCGAUCAAAGCGUUUAAUUGCCGAGCAUGCAAUUAACUUUGCGCCGAAACCAAAGCAGUCGAGAGCAAACAAGCGUCAGUUUAACGGUGGGUUAGUGGCAGCUGGGAGGUUAGAGGCGCGCAUGCGUGUUAAUUGCAAUUUCAAUGCAGUAAAAUAAGCGUAAAUUUUUAAUUACUAAAUAUGUAGUUAU